AUAAAAGCAGGGCUUAGUUGCCUUAUGUGAACUGAGCUCCCGUAAACUUCAGGGACAUUAACUGCAUUGUUUUUGGGUGAACCUUUGUACUUGCAUCAGUUGCAUGUGACUUAAGGUUCAGUAAAUGAUGGCACAUUU
Small nucleolar RNA from Prunus persica (peach), 138 nucleotides. It matches the Rfam family "Small nucleolar RNA snoR74". NCBI's taxonomy places the organism in Eukaryota, Viridiplantae, Streptophyta, Magnoliopsida, Rosales, Rosaceae. The record is from Rfam.